AUCCAGCUGACGAGCCCCAAAAUAAGCCGAAACGCGCAUCCUGGAU
RNAcentral lists this non-coding RNA (46 nucleotides) under Schistosoma mansoni. The record is from RNAcentral. Lineage: Eukaryota; Metazoa; Platyhelminthes; Trematoda; Strigeidida; Schistosomatidae.